GACGAACGCUGGCGGCGUGCUUAACACAUGCAAGUCGAACGGAAAGGCCCCUUCGGGGUUACUCGAGUGGCGAACGGUUGAGUAACACGUGAGUAACCUGCCCUUGACUUCUGGAUAACUUCGGUAAACUGGGGCUACUACCGGAUAGGAAUCCUUGCUGCAUCGUGGGGGUUGGAAAGCUUCUGCGGUUUUGCAGGGACUCGCGGCUUAUCAGCUUGUUGGUGGGGUAGUGGCUUACCAAGGCUUUCACGGGUAGCCGGACUGAGAGGGCGACCGGCCGCAUUGGGACUGAGAUGCGGCCCAGGCUCCUACGGGAGGCAGCAGUGGGGAAUCUUGCUCCAUGGGCGGCAGCCUGAUGCAGCAGCGCCGCGUGCGGGAUGACGGCCUUCGGGUUGUAAACCGCUUUCAGCAGGGGCGAAGCUUGUGGUGACGGUACCUGCAGAAGAAGCACCGGCUAACUACGUG
RNAcentral lists this ribosomal RNA (465 nucleotides) under uncultured bacterium. RNAcentral describes it as "partial 16S ribosomal RNA". It matches the Rfam family "Bacterial small subunit ribosomal RNA", at positions 28 to 507 of the family's 1533-position model. The record is from RNAcentral.